CCUACGGGUGGCAGCAGUGAGGAAUAUUGGUCAAUGGACGCAAGUCUGAACCAGCCAUGCCGCGUGCAGGAAGACGGCUCUAUGAGUUGUAAACUGCUUUUGUACGAGGGUAAAUCCCGAUACGUGUAUCGGGUUGAAAGUAUCGUACGAAUAAGGAUCGGCUAACUCCGUGCCAGCAGCCGCGGUAAUACGGAGGAUGCGAGCGUUAUCCGGAUUUAUUGGGGUGAAAGGGUGCGUAGGCGGUCCGGUAAGUCAGCGGUAAAAUUGCGGGGCUCAACCCCGUCGAGCCGUUGAAACGGGCAGACUUGAGUUGGCGAGAAGUACGCGGAAUGCGCGGUGUAGCGGUGAAAUGCAUAGAUAUCGCGCAGAACUCCGAUUGCGAAGGCAGCGUACCGGCGCCAGACUGACGCUGAGGCACGAAAGCGUGGGGAUCGAACAGGAUUAGAUACCCGAGUAGUC
RNAcentral lists this ribosomal RNA (459 nucleotides) under uncultured bacterium. Its description in RNAcentral is "partial 16S ribosomal RNA". It matches the Rfam family "Bacterial small subunit ribosomal RNA", at positions 338 to 795 of the family's 1533-position model. The record is from RNAcentral.